This 468-nucleotide ribosomal RNA is filed under the name uncultured bacterium. RNAcentral describes it as "partial 16S ribosomal RNA". It matches the Rfam family "Bacterial small subunit ribosomal RNA", at positions 28 to 507 of the family's 1533-position model. The record is from RNAcentral.
GACGAACGCUGGCGGCGUGCUUAACACAUGCAAGUCGAACGGAAACGCCCUGCUUUUGUGCUCUUCUGGAGUGGCGGACGGGUACGUAUCACGUGAGUAUCCUGCCCUUCACUUUGGGGUAACUUCAGGUAACUAGACCUACUCCCAGACCGGAGCUCCCGCUGCAUGGUGGGCGUUGGAACUUUUCGGCGGUUGGGGAUGGACUCGCGGCUUAUCAGCUUGUUGGUGGGGUAGUGGUUUACCCAGGAAUUGGAGGGUAGCCGGCCUGGGAGGGUGACCGGGCACAGGGGGACUGAGAGAGGGCCCAGACGCCUACGGGAGGCAGCAGGGGGAAAUAUGACACAGUGGGCGGAAGCCGGAUGCAGCAACGCCGCGGGCGGGAUGACGGCCUGCGGGGUGUAAACCGCAGUCGCCUGUGACGAAGCGGGAGUGACGGUAAUGGGUAAAGAAGCACCGGCUAACUACGUG